Long non-coding RNA from Neofelis nebulosa (Clouded leopard), 949 nucleotides. RefSeq lists it as uncharacterized. The record is from RefSeq and is a predicted model, not a curated record. NCBI's taxonomy places the organism in Eukaryota, Metazoa, Chordata, Mammalia, Carnivora, Felidae. The transcript has 3 exons.
GAAACUGACCAGGAGCAGCAGCAGCAAGGCUGGCCCAGCCGUGGAAAAGACCGUCCGAAUCGUCAGCCCCAGUGCCCCCAGCCCUAGAACGCUGUCGAGGAGCUGGGCCAGAAAGCUGCCGGAGGAUGUGCUUCAGCAAAAUCAGGCAUUAAACCGCAAGGACAAUACGAGACUAAAGAAAUGAGGCUAAGUACAGGAAAGCAAUGAUGAGAAAGGCUCAGGAUGUCAGCUGUGCUUCCCAGUGAAGAAAGCAAACAACUCAGCCUGGACUCAAAAGCAAGAUGCUCCAGGAGGGAUGUCUCCAGAAGAAAAUGAGAUUGAUUAUCUGCGGUUUUUAGAUAUGCUAAAAAUAAAUGUUCAGUUCCGCUGGUUGCUUUGGGAUUAAAUUAUCCAUUGGUGCCCAGAAAACCAAGCAGAUGAUAAAACAAAGUAAUCACUAACUCCAGGGAACACAAAAAGUUGAACAGUAAUAUUUACAUGGCCACAAGAUGAGGAAACAGAGGCUCAGAGAGCGAGGGACUGUCCAAGGAUACCCACACAAAAUAAUACAGCAGAGGCGGGUGUGAAAUUAAGCCUGUGCGGUACCAAAGUCAGCUCUCCUCUCCACCUCCAGCCACCUGACCACCCUGGGGAGCCGGCAGGAGUGGAGCACCUCAGUGCAAACCCUGGAGCUGCGCCUCCAGAACCUGCUUCCAGGUACCCAAGUGGCAAGGGCCGAAGGCAACAGCCGAGCUGGGAGCAGAUGCGAGGCGAUGAGGAACUAAUGAAGGAGCAUAGAAGGUUCUGAGGGGUUCGGGGGGGGGGAUGGAGGGACACGAAGGGGCCCUGAAGGUUGUUACAGGGCAGAAAGGCAAGGGGUAAGAGGUGAAAAUAAGGAUGAGGGGGCACAGGGGACACAAUAGGUAUCAGCACCCCACAGAUCCGAGCCUCUGAGGGAUCAGCCAGGGGU